AGGGGUAUAGCUCAGUUGGUAGAGCGGCGGUCUCCAAAACCGUAGGUCGAGGGUUCAAGUCCUUCUGCCCCUG
Molecule: transfer RNA, 73 nt
Filed under: Flavimaricola marinus
Lineage: Bacteria; Pseudomonadati; Pseudomonadota; Alphaproteobacteria; Rhodobacterales; Paracoccaceae
Description: Loktanella marina tRNA
Rfam family: tRNA
About the family: Transfer RNA (tRNA) molecules are approximately 80 nucleotides in length. Their secondary structure includes four short double-helical elements and three loops (D, anti-codon, and T loops). Further hydrogen bonds mediate the characteristic L-shaped molecular structure. tRNAs have two regions of fundamental functional importance: the anti-codon, which is responsible for specific mRNA codon recognition, and the 3' end, to which the tRNAs corresponding amino acid is attached (by aminoacyl-tRNA synthetases). tRNAs cope with the degeneracy of the genetic code in two manners: having more than one tRNA (with a specific anti-codon) for a particular amino acid; and 'wobble' base-pairing, i.e. permitting non-standard base-pairing at the 3rd anti-codon position.
Source: Rfam by way of RNAcentral